AGAGUUUGAUCCUGGCUCAGAAUCAACACUGGCGGCGUGCCUCAGACAUGCAAGUCGAACGCGAAAGUCUCCUUCGGGGGGCAAGUAGAGUGGCGCACGGGUGAGUAAUACGUAGGUAAUCUACCUUUGGAUGGGGAAUAACAAUCGGAAACGGUUGCUAAUACCGCAUAAUGCAGCGGCACCUAAUGGUGACAGUUGUUAAAGCGGGGGAUCGAAAGACCUCGCGUCUGAAGAGGAGCCUGCGGCGGAUUAGCUAGUUGGUAAGGUAACGGCUUACCAAGGCUACGAUCCGUAGCCGGCCUGAGAGGGCGGUCGGCCACACUGACACUGACAUACGGGUCAGACUCCUACGGGAGGCAGCAGUCGGGAAUUUUGGGCAAUGGGCGAAAGCCUGACCCAGCAACGCCGCGUGAAGGAUGAAAUCCCUCGGGAUGUAAACUUCGCAAGAACGGGAAGAAUAAGCGAGAGUUAAUAUCUUUCGUGAUGACGGUACCGUUUGUAAGCUCCGGCUAACUCCGUGCCAGCAGCCGCGGUAAUACGGGGGGAGCAAGCGUUGUUCGGAUUUACUGGGCGUAAAGGGCGCGUAGGCGGUCAGCACAAGUCAGUUGUGAAAUCUCCGAGCUUAACUCGGAAAGGUCAACUGAAACUGUGCGACUAGAGUGCGGAAGGGGCAACUGGAAUUCUUGGUGUAGCGGUGAAAUGCG
This 704-nucleotide ribosomal RNA is filed under the name uncultured bacterium. Its description in RNAcentral is "bacterial SSU rRNA". It matches the Rfam family "Bacterial small subunit ribosomal RNA", at positions 8 to 690 of the family's 1533-position model. The record is from RNAcentral.